RNAcentral lists this transfer RNA (73 nucleotides) under Sus scrofa (pig). It matches the Rfam family "tRNA". Rfam says of the family: Transfer RNA (tRNA) molecules are approximately 80 nucleotides in length. Their secondary structure includes four short double-helical elements and three loops (D, anti-codon, and T loops). Lineage: Eukaryota; Metazoa; Chordata; Mammalia; Artiodactyla; Suidae. The record is from Rfam by way of RNAcentral.
UUCCUGGUGGCCUAAUGGUGAAGGAUGCAGCAUUGUCGCUGCAGUGGCUCAGGUUUCAUCCCUGGCCAGGAAA